AUCCUUUUGUAGCUCAUGAGCAACAAUGACUGGGUGUUCACAUGCACGUGUGAAAUGCACUACAAUCUCGGCACAUUACCCAUCUGACC
Small nucleolar RNA from Macaca fascicularis (crab-eating macaque), 89 nucleotides. Lineage: Eukaryota; Metazoa; Chordata; Mammalia; Primates; Cercopithecidae. The record is from Ensembl.